GUUGCUGGUUCUCUAGGGAGCAUGUGCACACCUUGUCAUCUUUAUAUCUCCACCUGUGCACCUUUUGUAGACCUUUUCAGGUCUAUGUUGCUUCAUUUACCCCCAAUGUAUGUUAAUAGAAUGUUGUGCCUAUAAUAAUAUAUACAACUUUCAGCAACGGAUCUCUUGGCUCUCGCAUCGAUGAAGAACGCAGCGAAAUGCGAUAAGUAAUGUGAAUUGCAGAAUUCAGUGAAUCAUCGAAUCUUUGAACGCACCUUGCGCUCCUUGGUAUUCCGAGGAGCAUGCCUGUUUGAGUGUCAUUAAUAUAUCAACCUUCUCUUGUUGAGUGGUUUGGAUGUGGGAGUUUGCUGGCCUCUUGAAAGGUUUUAGCUCUCCUGAAAUGCAUUAGCGGAACAACCCUGUUCAUUGGCGUGAUAACUAUCGACGCUAUUGAAUGUAAAGGGCAGUUUGGCUUUCUAACAGUCCUUGGACAGCUCAUCAUUAAUGUGACCUCAAAUCAGGUAGGACUACCCGCUGAACUUAAGCAUAUCAAUAAGCGGAGG
RNAcentral lists this ribosomal RNA (542 nucleotides) under uncultured Cortinariaceae. Its description in RNAcentral is "eukaryotic LSU rRNA". The stretch from base 146 to 299 matches the Rfam family "5.8S ribosomal RNA". Lineage: Eukaryota; Fungi; Basidiomycota; Agaricomycetes; Agaricales; Cortinariaceae. The record is from RNAcentral.